Molecule: transfer RNA, 58 nt
Filed under: Spurilla braziliana
Lineage: Eukaryota; Metazoa; Mollusca; Gastropoda; Nudibranchia; Aeolidiidae
Description: tRNA-Ser
Source: RNAcentral
AAGAGAUUAUUUUUCAAGCUUCUAACUUGAUUUAGGGGAAUCUUUUUCUCCAUCUCUU